CAAUAGCGUAUAUUAAAGUUGUUGCAGUUAAAAAGCUCGUAGUUGGAUUUCUGGUCGGAAGCUCCUGUCCUCUGAUGAGCGUACAAGUGCGUCCUACCAUCCUUCUGUUAACCUUUAAGGCUUUCGCGGCUUUCUAGGGGCUCAGAUAUUUUACCUUGGGAAAAUUAGAGUGUUUCAGGCAGGCUAGCGCCGGAAUACAUUAGCAUGGAAUAAUGGAAUAGGACUUUUGCCUCUUCUGUUGGUCAUGAGGCUCGAGUAAUGAUUAAUAGGGAUAGUUGGGGGCAUUAGUACUUAACUGUCAGAGGUGAAAUUCUCGGAUUUGUUAAAGACUAACUUAUGCGAAAGCAUUUGCCAAGGAUGUUUUCAUUAA
Molecule: ribosomal RNA, 370 nt
Filed under: uncultured eukaryote
Lineage: Eukaryota
Description: partial 18S ribosomal RNA
Rfam family: Eukaryotic small subunit ribosomal RNA
Source: RNAcentral